Molecule: ribosomal RNA, 637 nt
Filed under: uncultured bacterium
Lineage: Bacteria
Description: bacterial SSU rRNA
Rfam family: Bacterial small subunit ribosomal RNA
Source: RNAcentral
GGUUGCGGCGGAGGGUUAGUAACGCGUGGGAACGUACCCAAAGGUACGGGAUAGCAUCGGGAAACUGGUGGUAAUACCGUAUGUGCCCUUCGGGGGAAAGAAUUUCGCCUUUGGAUCGGCCCGCGUAAGAUUAGGUAGUUGGUGAGGUAACGGCUCACCAAGCCUACGAUCUUUAUCUGGUUUGAGAGGAUGAUCAGAAACACUGGGACUGAGACACGGCCCAGACUCCUACGGGAGGCAGCAGUGGGGAAUCUUGGACAAUGGGCGCAAGCCUGAUCCAGCCAUGCCGCGUGAGUGAAGAAGGCCUUAGGGUUGUAAAGCUCUUUCAGGGGUGAGGAUUAUGACAGUAACCCCAGAAGAAGCACCGGCUAACUUCGUGCCAGCAGCCGCGGUAAUACGAAGGGUGCAAGCGUUGUUCGGAAUCACUGGGCGUAAAGGGCGUGUAGGCGGAUGAACAAGUUAGAGGUGAAAGCCCCGGGCUCAACCUGGGAACUGCCUUUAAAACUGUUCAUCUAGAAUCCGGGAGGGGAGUGUGGAAUUCCUAGUGUAGAGGUGAAAUUCGUAGAUAUUAGGAAGAACACCGGUGGCGAAGGCGACACUCUGGACCGGUAUUGACGCUGAAGCGCGAAAGCGUGGG